Molecule: small RNA, 26 nt
Filed under: Arabidopsis thaliana (thale cress)
Lineage: Eukaryota; Viridiplantae; Streptophyta; Magnoliopsida; Brassicales; Brassicaceae
Description: ATSL206910
Source: RNAcentral
AAGCUAGCAGGGUAUGAUUGAAAUAA